Molecule: ribosomal RNA, 251 nt
Filed under: uncultured prokaryote
Description: partial 16S rRNA
Rfam family: Bacterial small subunit ribosomal RNA
Source: RNAcentral
ACGGGGGGUGCGAGCGUUAUUCGGAAUUACUGGGCGUAAAGCGCGUGCAGGCGGUUUGAUAAGUCUGAUGUGAAAGCCCCGGGCUUAACCUGGGAAGGGCAUUGGAAACUGUUGGACUUGAGUACUGGAGAGGAAGGGGGAAUUCCCGGUGUAGGGGUGAAAUCCGGAGAUAUCGGGAGGAACACCUGUGGCGAGGGCGUCCCACUGGACGGCUUCUGACGCUGAGCCGCGAAAGCGUGGGGAGCAAACAG